CAGCACACCAGAUAAUAGGGGAAUCCCUCCAACCCCAUAGAAAACUAAAACAGCACAGGCAAUUUAUGUUCACCCUGGCAAUGCUAGGACAAAAUCAUAAGGCACACAAACUGUGCAUGCCACCUCCAUUAAAAAGAUGGUGGACUGAGGAGGUCAGCACACACUGGGUUCCCUGGUGAGGUACAUGCCCAUGUCAGACAUCACACUCAAUAAGGGCAGUCCCUACAUAGCUCUGGUAAGACAGUCCACUGCUAACCCCCCUACUCCUGUAUGCUCUGUGGGCUCUUGUGUGUUCG
Non-coding RNA from Pelobates cultripes (western spadefoot toad), 296 nucleotides. NCBI's taxonomy places the organism in Eukaryota, Metazoa, Chordata, Amphibia, Anura, Pelobatidae. The record is from the annotation of a GenBank genome assembly.